RNAcentral lists this long non-coding RNA (1990 nucleotides) under Nicotiana benthamiana. RNAcentral's name for it is "long non-coding RNA (NBEN_LNC014450)". The record is from RNAcentral. Lineage: Eukaryota; Viridiplantae; Streptophyta; Magnoliopsida; Solanales; Solanaceae.
UCUCCUUCCUCAUACCAUCUCUGUAUCCUCGCCGGAACCACCGCCGCCGGCAAACAUCACUUUCCCCAAUCAACCCUAAAAUAACACCAUAGCUCCCUCUCCUGCUCCUCUACUCAAAUCCGUUGUCUGUUUCUUUUUAAUCUCACCAGAGCUCGUCCAAUGCCCAUUUUAAGUUUUCUGGCUACGACGACACUUAUCCCAAAUUAACCCAAAUUCACGCCAUAGGUUCUCCUUACCAUUAUCUGCCCAAAUCUCCAAAUAGUUUUCUUCAAAUCAUCGUCAGGCAUCUCGAAUUUCAAGUUUAAAUUGGCUGAAAAACCCCAAAUUAUUGAAAAACGGCCAAGUAAAGUACUACAUGGCUCUCUCACCCUUCUAGUAAAAGAAGUUCACCACUAGCAAAGGUAAAAUCACCCAAAACUCUUUGAAUUCAGAAAUCGUCGAAGCUGUUUCACUGAGUCCUGAAUCAUGUUGUUUUUUCUGUUUAAGCCUUUUCUCUUUGUUUCAUGUUCAUGUUCGUUAAUAGCUGGUUAAUUUCCAUUACUAGUUUUGAUUAGGGUUGCUUUCAUUUUUUAGCAGAAUCUAUUAGUUAGUUCUUGUUUGUUUUAUCCUAAUUUUAAUUUGAUUAUUAGGUAUAAUUCAUGCCAUGUUGGUCCUAUAUUAGUUUGGUUCAGUGAAAUGGUGUUUUAGGUUUCAAUUUAGUCCUUGCUUUGUUAAUUUUUCUUCAUCAAUUUCAUUUAAGUAAGGUUGACUUCAACUUGAUAAUUAGUGUUAAUUAGUUUGGCAGUUAGUCACUAUAGUUUAAAGGAUUUCAGGAUUGUUUUGGGUUUUUGACGUGGGAUGGGAUACUACAGAAUGCCCUAAAACAUUCUAGGAUAUGAUCUUAGUGUCUACUUCAAAAAUUUGAAAGUGGUGACUUGAGACAUAAUUCAAAAAAUAAAAGGUCUAAAUAGAAAUAAAGUGGGGGACUACUUGGAAAUUAUAAAAUGGAGACCUCCUUGGCUAUGCCUAUAAAAUGCAACCCAAUGCCUUGUAUAAGGGGUCUUCUUUUCAGCCAAAAAAGAAUCCCAUCCAAUAGCAUUUUCUUUCCAGUUUCAGAUCCAAUUUUAAAAUUCAAAAGUGAAAAAUUCAAAAGAAAGCAGUAGAAAAAAGCAAAUAAAAAAAUAUUGGAGAAAUAAAAAAUAUAAUGUUAUAUGUUUUAGGCCAAAAUUAUUCAGUUCUAGUUUCUUCUGUUUGUUGAGGCCCCUUGAAGUGUGUUGGCUGGUUUUCGAAUGAUUUCUGGUGUUACUCCUUGAUUUCGAGUUAAUAUAGUAGAUCAGAUUGUAUUUGAUCAUUUUCUGGGUCAUCUGAUUGGGAUUUUGAGUUUCUGUGGGUGUUCAUGUUGAGUUUUCCAAUUGUUCUGGAAUCUACUAGUUAUGAAAUCGUCCGUGGGCUGUUGAUUUGUUUUUCUAAGCUGUGCUAAGCAUCAGUGAACUUCUGCUGCUAUGCUUGUUAACUGCUGGUUACUAGUUGCUGAUCCUUUCUUCUCCUACUAAAAAUUCUAUUUCCAGGUACUCAUUUCAGCUUUGAACAUUGUGUGAAAUGUCUAGAUAAGUGUAGUAUGAUUUGAAGGGAAAUCGGAGUGCAAAACAAUUUUUUCUUCUGGCCUUAUCUCGCAUGCAUCUAUAUGAAUUAAUCUGUAUUCAGUAGCUAAAUGCUGUAAUUCAUUAAGGAUGGUGGGAUUAUGGACUGUUAAAUUUUAGAGUUCAGUUCACUUCGUAUGAAUCAGUAGCUCCAAUGUAUAUGGUUGAAUUUCUAUGAUGACUGUAGUUAAUUCCUAGUGUUUGAUUCAUAUAUUUGUUAAGCACUAAUUGUAGUUGAUUUCAUGCCAAAUCAAUAGAAUAGCUCGUGAUUAGUUAGCUCUUGUCAGAAGCAUGUUGAUUAGGAGGUAUUGUGUAUUACAUGUGUGGGCACAUUUAAAUUUGUUAGUUUAGGUGUUGGAGUUAAAUUGGAG